This 1672-nucleotide long non-coding RNA is filed under the name Chinchilla lanigera (long-tailed chinchilla). Its description in RNAcentral is "lncRNA (ENSCLAG00000022591.1)". The record is from RNAcentral. Lineage: Eukaryota; Metazoa; Chordata; Mammalia; Rodentia; Chinchillidae.
AUUUGAUGUAUCCAUUUGGCUAUACCCAUGCUGCACUUCCAGGUACCUAUUAGAAAUUCCGGACAGAGUUAUUCUUGUCUACAAAUUCAUCUCUUCUCUUACCUUGCACCAGAUUAUAAAUCUCUAUAGUACAUACCAUUAACCUUAUAUUCAUCCUGGUUGGUGCCUGGCUCACUGGAGAGGCACACACACAUUUAGCAUGGGGACAAAAGUAAUUAUGACAGGAGUAAAUAAAUGAAUAAACAAAUGAAAGUUCCUCAAUAGGUUGAACGGUGGGGGACAUAUAUCAUAAUUUAUGCUAUAUAGUUGUAACUAGAAAAUAAUUGUUUCUUUUUUUUUUUUUUUUUUUGUUUUUCUCCGGUACCAGGAACCGAACUCACGACCUUGCGCUUGCCAGGAAGGUGCUUUGCCGCUGAGCUAAAUCCCCAGCCCAGUUGUUUCUUAUGUUGAUAAUAAGCCAGUGGUUCUCAAUGGGAUCAGAAUCACCGAGACUCCCUGUUUAAACACAGAUUGUGGGCCUCGGCCUGAGGUUUGAUUUUGUAAUUCUGAGAUUGACCAUCUCUGACAAAUCCUAAGAUGAAACUGAUGCCAGAGUUCAAGCACCAGAUUUUGAGACUGUCUAUGAUGUUAUUGUAGCAUAGUAAUUUCAUGUGUUUCAUUAUUCCGUAAUCACUUUUAUCCAAUUAGCUCUUAUCUACUUCUCCAGGAGCAUAUUUGUCAUACUUUCGGAACAGUUUUGUCGCCGUGACUGAUGGAGAACAGUGUGCAUGGCUGGCAUGGUUUGGAAACUUGGUUUUUUUUAGCCAGUGAUGGAAUCCAAAGGAAUCCUUUAUCAGAGUCCUCACCUCCGACAGGAAAGAAUCUUUUGCUAGAUUAUGGAUCCAUGAUUGUAUAAAGGAAGAUUGGGAAGAUUUAUUUUGGCGCAAAGUAACUGUGUGAUUUGGAUGCUUGGACCUUCAUCUACCAAAUUCUGCUUCAUAUUUGGAGACGAGUAUGCGUUGAGAAAACUACAGAAAUAGAUUCGGUGGGAGGCAGACACUCGGCCUCCCAAGGAGCUAUCCGCGGUCUCUCUGCAGUCUACAGUAUUUGGGCAAAGACCAAUUUUUGUCUGUUUUAUGGCACUGCUCUGAUUCCCUCCUUCCCCACACAACCUUCCCCUGAAAACUGAACUGUAUGCUGCUGCUGACAGCAGUUUCAGUAAUUCUCAGAAGACUGAAACAUUUGAGUUUCAUUCUCUCUCUGCAUGUUUGUCUAUAGAUUUAAAAUAUCCUAAAAGUUACUAAAACAAUGCUUAUUUGGUAACUAUUACAACUGCUAGAACAUCAUUUCCUCAAUUUUACCAACCCCCUGUGCAAAAAUGUUUCUUUUGGGUAUUGCUUCAUUGCUAAAGGCAAAAUAAAAAAGAAUUGUGAUGACAAAUUCCUAAGAGAUGUUCUACUAUUUGCUCAGCCAGUUUAAAGUAUGACUGCUCACUUGAAAAAGAUACAAAUAAAAAAUUACCUGUUCAGCAGAAUUUGCUUCUGUUUUACUCCCUAGGUUUACUGCCUGGUUAUGGUUUAAUAACACAAUAUACUCUAGAUCACUGUCGCUGUAAAACCGACAGGCAGGGAAUCCACUACAGUCAGAUACCGUCCCACUCUGCGUAAAUAAAUGAAAUCUUGAAGUUGGAGCU